This 329-nucleotide unclassified non-coding RNA is filed under the name soil metagenome. Its description in RNAcentral is "partial contains 5.8S ribosomal RNA, internal transcribed spacer 2, and large subunit ribosomal RNA". The stretch from base 1 to 120 matches the Rfam family "5.8S ribosomal RNA", at positions 35 to 154 of the family's 154-position model. The record is from RNAcentral.
GAUGGAGAACGUAGCGAAAUGCGAUAAGUAAUGUGAAUUGCAGAAUUCAGUGAAUCAUCGAAUCUUUGAACGCACAUUGCGCCCCCUGGUAUUCCGGGGGGCAUGCCUGUUCGAGCGUCAUUACAACCCUCAAGCUCUGCUUGGUAUUGGGCCCCGCCAGUUCUGGCGGGCCCUAAAGUCAGUGGCGGUGCCUUCCGGCUCCGAGCGUAGUAAUUCUUCUCGCUCUGGAGACCCGGUUGUGUGCUUGCCAACAACCCCCAAUUUUUUAAGGUUGACCUCGGAUCAGGUAGGGAUACCCGCUGAACUUAAGCAUAUCAAUAAGCGGAGGA